Molecule: ribosomal RNA, 393 nt
Filed under: uncultured bacterium
Lineage: Bacteria
Description: partial 16S ribosomal RNA
Rfam family: Bacterial small subunit ribosomal RNA
Source: RNAcentral
AUACGGAGGAUGCGAGCGUUAUCCGGAUUUAUUGGGUUUAAAGGGUGCGUAGGCUGUGCGUUAAGUCAGGGGUGAAAUGCCGUCGCUCAACGACGGAGCUGCCCUUGAUACUGGCGUGCUGGAGUACGGAUGCCGUUGGAGGAAUGAGUGGUGUAGCGGUGAAAUGCUUAGAUAUCACUCAGAACACCGAUUGCGAAGGCAUCUGACGAAUCCGUCACUGACGCUGAGGCACGAAAGCGUGGGGAUAGAACAGGAUUAGAUUCCCUGGUAUUCCACGCCGUAAACGAUGAUGACUAACCGUCGGCGAUAGACAGCCGGUGGCCAAGCGAAAGCGAUAAGUCAUCCACCUGGGGAGUACGUCGGCAACGAUGAAACUCAAAGGAAUUGACGGGG